UCGGCUUGAAAUAAAGCGAGAUCUCAAAAAUGUUUUUUUACAACCCGAAAAAAUCUUGAUUUUGUUCUUUUGCCGUAAAAAGUUAGAGCAUUCACUUACGGUGUGGAAGAAAUAAGUUGGGGAGAACGAAAAGAAUUGGUAAGUACCACAGCUUUUGAAAAUGAAAAGAAAAACCGAGCAAGCAUAGAAAAAUAUAUGUAUAGAAAAUGUAGAAAAUAACAUCUGUUUGUAUAUUUGAUGUGAAAGAAAAAGAACAAAAAUAGAAAGAAUUGAAAAAAAAAAAAAAAAAAAAAAAAUGAAUGAAUGCUUGCUUGGAAGAAAAAAAAAAAAUUGUAGUUGAGAAAUAAGAAUUGAGUUGUGGAAUAUGUGUUGUGAAGGUUACAAAUAAGAAACAAAGGAAACAAGUCGAGUAGUGUGAAUAUUACUGUGAAUGUCUCUUU
Molecule: long non-coding RNA, 440 nt
Filed under: Lathyrus oleraceus (garden pea)
Lineage: Eukaryota; Viridiplantae; Streptophyta; Magnoliopsida; Fabales; Fabaceae
Description: Pisum sativum (pea) long non-coding RNA (PSAT_LNC028436)
Source: RNAcentral